This 229-nucleotide ribosomal RNA is filed under the name uncultured bacterium. Its description in RNAcentral is "partial 16S ribosomal RNA". It matches the Rfam family "Bacterial small subunit ribosomal RNA", at positions 568 to 796 of the family's 1533-position model. The record is from RNAcentral.
UGCGUAGGCGGAUUAAUAAGUCAGUGGUGAAAUCUUUCGGCUCAACCGAGAAACUGCCAUUGAUACUGUUAAUCUUGAGUUCGGUUGAGGUAGGCGGAAUGUGUAAUGUAGCGGUGAAAUGCUUAGAUAUUACACAGAACACCGAUUGCGUAGGCAGCUUACUAGACCGACACUGACGCUGAGGCACGAAAGCGUGGGGAGCGAACAGGAUUAGAUACCCUGGUAGUCC